Non-coding RNA from Phascolarctos cinereus (koala), 309 nucleotides. The record is from RefSeq and is a predicted model, not a curated record. Lineage: Eukaryota; Metazoa; Chordata; Mammalia; Diprotodontia; Phascolarctidae.
CAACGAUGUAUUGAGGAAGACCUGGUGGGACAGAGGGUACUUGCAAUUUAUUUUUAAGGGUUUCGCAUCCUCAACUAGAGUUGGAGCUCCCCAAGAACAGAGAUUCUUUCUCUCCUUUGGUUCCUUAUGUAAUCUAACACAUGACAUCACACACAAGAAUUUACUUUGAGGAAGAAUAGAAAGAGCCAAGUGAGCAGAUUUCAUAAUUGCCAAACUUUAUUUUCACUCUGCCUCCAACUUUCCCGGUGAAACAGAACAUAAAGAAAGCCUUUUACAAAUGGAUAAUUAUAUACUCACACAUCUCAUGAU